CGUCUAUAUACGUAUAGCAUAUCAAUAAGCGGAGGAAAAGAAACUAACAAGGAUUCCCUUAGUAACGGCGAGUGAAGCGGGAAGAGCUCAAAUUUGAAAUCUUCAAGGUUUUACCUUGACGAAUUGUAGUUUAAAGAAGUGUUUUCUGUUGGAGUUUUGGUAAAAGUUCUUUGGAAUAGGACAUCAUAGAGGGUGAGAAUCCCGUAUUUGACCAUUAUUUCCAGCUUUGUGAUACACUUUCAAAGAGUCGGAUUGUUUGGGAAUGCAGUCCAAAAUGGGUGGUAAAUUUCAUCUAAAGCUAAAUACUGGCGAGAGACCGAUAGCGAACAAGUACCGUGAGGGAAAGAUGAAAAGAACUUUGAAAAGAGAGUUAAACAGUACGUGAAAUUGUCAAAAGGGAAGCGUUUGACACCAGUGUUGUUUUCUCGAAAAUCAAUUAAGAAUGUUGUAUUUUGAGGUUGUAUUGACUUUAUCAGGCUUGCUGCACUUUCUUUCCUGAAUCUUUUUUAAUGCACUUUUCGGUUAACAAGUCAACAUCAAUUUCUUUUGUUGUAAAAGAGUCAUUGGAAGGUGGCUUUCUUUUCGGAGAAAGUGUUUAUAGCCUUUGGCUUCUGCAAUCGGAGAGAUUGAGGUCUGCAGCGUAGAUCCUUCGGGGUUAGAUACAUUUGUGCUAAGUUAUAGCCUUUCAUAGACAACUUGUUGACUAUGAUCAGUCAUGUAGCUUACUCGCUUAUGUCAUUUUACCUACGCUUAGGAUGUUGAUAUGCAUGACUGAUAU
RNAcentral lists this ribosomal RNA (778 nucleotides) under uncultured Neocallimastigales. Its description in RNAcentral is "partial large subunit ribosomal RNA". It matches the Rfam family "Eukaryotic large subunit ribosomal RNA", at positions 26 to 640 of the family's 3401-position model. The record is from RNAcentral. Lineage: Eukaryota; Fungi; Neocallimastigomycota; Neocallimastigomycetes; Neocallimastigales.